UCUCCGUUGGUGAACCAGCGGAGGGAUCAUUACAGAGUUGCAAAACUCCCAAACCCUCGUGAACAUACCCGUUACAGUUGCUUCGGUGGGCGGCCCCAGGGCGGGGCCGAAGCCUCUUCUCACGAGGCGCCCGCCGGGGGUAUAUAAGUCUUAGUAUUACGGUCUCUCUGAGUAAAUUUAUAAUAAGUCAAAACUUUUAACAACGGAUCUCUUGGUUCUG
This 220-nucleotide unclassified non-coding RNA is filed under the name plant metagenome. RNAcentral describes it as "partial contains small subunit ribosomal RNA, internal transcribed spacer 1, and 5.8S ribosomal RNA". The record is from RNAcentral.